Molecule: ribosomal RNA, 844 nt
Filed under: uncultured bacterium
Lineage: Bacteria
Description: bacterial SSU rRNA
Rfam family: Bacterial small subunit ribosomal RNA
Source: RNAcentral
UCAACCNUAGUGUGCACUGGAAACUGUNUGACUUGAGUGCAGAAGGGGAGAGUGGAAUUCCAUGUGUAGCGGUGAAAUGCGUAGAUAUAUGGAGGAACACCAGUGGCGAAAGCGGCUCUCUGGUCUGUCACUGACGCUGAGGCUCGAAAGCGUGGGUAGCGAACAGGAUUAGAUACCCUGGUAGUCCACGCCGUAAACGAUGAGUGCUAGGUGUUAGGCCCUUUCCGGGGCUUAGUGCCGGAGCUAACGCAAUAAGCACUCCGCCUGGGGAGUACGACCGCAAGGUUGAAACUCAAAGGAAUUGACGGGGGCCCGCACAAGCGGUGGAGCAUGUGGUUUAAUUCGAAGCAACGCGAAGAACCUUACCAGGUCUUGACAUCCCGAUGCUAUUCUUAGAGAUAGGAAGUUACUUCGGUACAUCGGAGACAGGUGGUGCAUGGUUGUCGUCAGCUCGUGUCGUGAGAUGUUGGGUUAAGUCCCGCAACGAGCGCAACCCUUAUUGUUAGUUGCCAUCAUUAAGUUGGGCACUCUAGCGAGACUGCCGGUAAUAAACCGGAGGAAGGUGGGGAUGACGUCAAAUCAUCAUGCCCCUUAUGACCUGGGCUACACACGUGUUACAAUGGUCGGUACAACGAGUUGCGAGCCGGUGACGGCAAGCUAAUCUCUGAAAGCCGAUCUCAGUUCGGAUUGGAGGCUGCAACUCGCCUCCAUGAAGUCGGAAUCGCUAGUAAUCGCGGAUCAGCACGCCGCGGUGAAUACGUUCCCGGGCCUUGUACACGCCGCCCGUCACACCACGAGAGUUUGUAACACCCGAAGUCGGUGAGGUAACCUUUUAGGGGCCAGC